GUAGGGAAUAUUGCGCAAUGGACGAAAGUCUGACGCAGCGACGCCGCGUGAGUGAUGAAGGCCUUAGGGUCGUAAAGCUCUGUUGAAUGGGAAGAAAAAAAUGACGGUACCAUUCGAGGAAGGACCGGCUAACUUCGUACCAGCAGCCGCGGUAAUACGAGGGGUCCUAGCGUUGUUCGGAAUCAUUGGGCGUAAAGGGUGUGUAGGUGGCCAUGUAAGUCAGGUGUGAAAGCCCCGGGCUCAACCCGGGAAGUGCACUUGAUACUGCGUGGCUUGAGUACCGAAGAGGGUAGUGGAAUUCCAGGUGUAGUGGUGAAAUACGUAGAUAUCUGGAGGAACACCGGUGGCGAAGGCGGCUACCUGGUCGAGUACUGACACUGAGACACGAAAGCAUGGGGAUCAAACAGGAUUAGAUACCCUGGUAGUCC
This 428-nucleotide ribosomal RNA is filed under the name uncultured bacterium. Its description in RNAcentral is "partial 16S ribosomal RNA". It matches the Rfam family "Bacterial small subunit ribosomal RNA", at positions 354 to 796 of the family's 1533-position model. The record is from RNAcentral.